UACCAGAAAGGGACGGGUAAAUACGUGCCCAGCAACCGCGGUAAAUCGGAUGUCUCGAGCCGUUUAUCCGGAUUUUAUUGGGCUAAAGCGAACGGCAGACGGUUUAUUUAAUCUGAUAUGAAAGCCCGUCGCUCAACUCCGGGAUGGCAUUGGAAACUGGUAACUUGAGUGCCGUUGAGGUAAGUGGAACUCCAUGUGUAGCGGUGGAAUGCGUAGAUAUAUGGAAGAACCCAGUGGCGGAGACGGCUUUUUGGGCUGUAACUGACGUUGAGGCUCGAAAGUGUGGGUAGCAAACAAGAUUAGAUACCCCGGUAGUCCACACCGUAAACGAUGGACACUAGGAGUUAGGAGGUUUUCGCCUCUUAAUGCUGAAGCUAACGCAUUAAGUGUUCCCCCUGGGGAGUACGACCCCAAGGUUGAAACUCAAAGGAAUUGACGGGGGCCCGCCCAAACGGUGGAGCAUGUGGGUUAAUUUGAAGCAACGCGAAGAACCUUUCCCGGUUUUGACAUCCUUUGAAGCUUUUAGAGAUAGAAGUGUUCUCUUCGGAGACAAAGUGACAGGUGGUGCAUGGUUGUCGUCAGCUCGUGUCGUGAGAUGUUGGGUUAAGUCCCGCAACGAGCGCAACCCUUAUUGUUAGUUGCCAGCAUUCAGAUGGGCACUCUAGCGAGACUGCCGGUGACAAACCGGAGGAAGGCGGGGACGACGUCAGAUCAUCAUGCCCCUUAUGACCUGGGCUACACACGUGCUACAAUGGCGUAUACAACGAGUUGCCAACCCGCGAGGGUGAGCUAAUCUCUUAAAGUACGUCUCAGUUCGGAUUGUAGUCUGCAACUCGCCUACAUGAAGUCGGAAUCGCUAGUAAUCGCGGAUCAGCACGCCGCGGUGAAUACGUUCCCGGGUCUUGUACACACCGCCCGUCACACCAUGGGAGUUUGUAACGCCCAAAGCCGGUGGCGGUAACCUUUUAGGAAGGCAGCCGUCCUAAGGCAUGAACAAAUU
This 1000-nucleotide ribosomal RNA is filed under the name Leuconostoc citreum. RNAcentral's name for it is "bacterial SSU rRNA". It matches the Rfam family "Bacterial small subunit ribosomal RNA", at positions 481 to 1473 of the family's 1533-position model. Lineage: Bacteria; Bacillati; Bacillota; Bacilli; Lactobacillales; Lactobacillaceae. The record is from RNAcentral.